This 254-nucleotide ribosomal RNA is filed under the name uncultured bacterium. RNAcentral describes it as "partial 16S ribosomal RNA". It matches the Rfam family "Bacterial small subunit ribosomal RNA", at positions 524 to 776 of the family's 1533-position model. The record is from RNAcentral.
UACGAAGGGGGGCUAGCGUUGUUCGGAAUCACUGGGCGUAAAGCGCACGUAGGCGGAUGUGCCAGUCAGGGGUGAAAUCCCGGAGCUCAACUUCGGAACUGCCUCUGAUACAGCACGUCUUGAGUCCGGAAGAGGUGGGUGGAAUUCCUAGUGUAGAGGUGAAAUUCGUAGAUAUUAGGAAGAACACCGGUGGCGAAGGCGGCCCACUGGUCCGGUACUGACGCUGAGGCGCGAAAGCUAGGGGAGCAAACAGG